RNAcentral lists this ribosomal RNA (479 nucleotides) under uncultured bacterium. Its description in RNAcentral is "partial 16S ribosomal RNA". It matches the Rfam family "Bacterial small subunit ribosomal RNA", at positions 28 to 523 of the family's 1533-position model. The record is from RNAcentral.
GACGAACGCUGGCGGCGUGCUUAACACAUGCAAGUCGAGCGAUGAAACACCUUCGGGUGCGGAUAGCGGCGAACGGGUGAGGAACACGUGAGGAAUCUGCCUUCCACUCUGGGAUAACUCCGGGAAACCGGGGCUAAUACCGGAUACUUUCGACUGGCGGCAUCGCCGGUUGAAGAAAGUUUUUCGGUGGAAGAUGACCUCGCGGCCUAUCAGCUUGUUGGUGAGGUAAAGGCUCACCACGGCGACGACGGGUAGCCGGCCUGGGAGGGCGACCGGCCACACUGGGACUGAGACACGGCCCAGACUCCUACGGGAGGCAGCAGUGGGGAAUAUUGGGCAAUGGAGGAAACUCUGCCCCAGCGACGCCGCGUGAGGGAUGAAGGCCUUCGGGUUGUAACCCUCUUUCAGCAGGGAAUAAGCGAAAGUGAAGGUACCUGCAGAAGAAGCACCGGCUAACUAUGUGCCAGCCGCCGCCGUAA